This is a non-coding RNA of Aegilops tauschii subsp. strangulata, 571 nucleotides long. The record is from RefSeq and is a predicted model, not a curated record. NCBI's taxonomy places the organism in Eukaryota, Viridiplantae, Streptophyta, Magnoliopsida, Poales, Poaceae.
CCUUGUCCUUCUCCGCCCAGCCAAUAAUGUUCCAUUCGUCUUUGCCGGUGGCCGGAAAUGGUGGCCCGAGAGGCCGGCCAAAUGCUUUCUUCUGCCCCUGGGCGCCGGUGAUCUGCCAUGGGCGACGGGAGGCCACACCCCAUGCGCUGUCCGAUGACUGUGACUUCCAGGAUCUGCUCUCCGUGCAACACCAAGAGGCCCUAACAAGUGUGCAAGCGUUGUUCCUUCAACAUCCAAAAAGCAGCCGUGGCAUGAUGACCAUUGUUGAUCACCUCAAACACCUCUGCAUUGACCAAUAUUUCCAAGACGAGAUCGGCAAUGUCGUGGACUCAUGCAUGGAUCUCAUACGUAGUGAUAAUCUCCUCGAUGUAACCCUUUCCAUGAGGCUGAUGAGGGAAGGUGGAUAUCAUGUUUCGGCUGGUCAGCAAACUACAUUUUAUAUAUUUUUACAAAAUAGUGUGAGUGGUAUAAUAACAUAGGUGUAGCCAACUCCAGAAUAAAAUAUAUUGUCUUCCUUAAGCAGAUUUUCCCAGAUAACAAUUUUUUUUCAUUAUAUGUACUUGCCUGAAAA